CGGUAUGAGCUUCCACCCCGCGGAAGGUCGUAGCAUGGUAAGAGGUCCUCGUGAUGCAAUUUCAAAGUAGUGUCUCCAAAAUGGCCGAUGGAGUUGCACACUUUCGACUGCACGCAAAAUUAGGUACUGCUGUUACAUCGUGAUUACACUAGAACCGCCCGGCCGCGAUGCCACCAGCAGCGAAUCUAACAAAACUUCAGCCCAACAGCUCGCGUUCAAUAAUGCCGCGAAAGCCACCACUCACUACCUUGAACAGCUUCCCUGCUCCGCCCCGUUGAUCCGCUUGGUGGGCCCCCCCCCACAUGGUCUGCCCGCUGAUCGCCUUGACCCUACUCGCUCCAACUCCAAUGCCCAAGAACACCUUAUCUAUAUUGGACAAGCGCCGGCCGUGACACUUAGGCUCAAACCACCGGCGGACAAAAGGAUAAGCUAAGGUCACAACACGGCGAAUAUCCAGAACAGGUUGUGACCACGGCAAACAGCACGUAACAGUACGACAGGAACUACGACAAAGCCACUACUUGCACUUGCAUCAUCCAAGAACCAGCUUACAUGGAACGUCGUGAAUUAAACCCAACGUCCAGGAACGUCCUUAUUCAACACAGGAGAUCAUUUGUUGAGGGAUGGGAAACGGCACGGCUCGCUUGCCUACCCACUAGACAGAAUGAGCAACCUGCUGCCUAGGAGCCGUACGGUUGCCUCAGGGUUUCUUACAUCAUAAAUGGCUGACAUAUUCACGCGUACGCAACAUACAUUCAGGCGUAUGUCGCGACUUCAAGCAACAAAAGAAGCCAACCGCCUCGCCAGCAGGCGCCAACCACAAUGUAAAAAUGUAAGGACGGUAUACAGUCAACAUCCCCACGAACACUCAAAUCGCCACCAAAAUCCGGACUGCGGAUAUCGGUAGGCGUUAGGUGGUAACCCAAAUGGAAUCACUUUCAGCUGCUAGCUUCAAGAUGUCAAAUGCAUGUUCACAAUGCUGUUCACAACGCCGGGUAUGCAUAGCGCUAUCCCUGCAGCGCUUGCAUGUGGGAGUGCAAUCAUCAUCGUCGUGUCCGAACCUUACCCAAACAAACAUGUCAAGGUUUUAGGUCAGGCUUCCGAAUUAUCUCUCAGGAUGGUCAAGUGCGCGCCCAAUGAACGAGGGAAAAAACCCAGAAGUUUCACGAUACUGCCGGUGCUGCUGCCGCAUGCACUGCAAGUAAAAGCCGUCCCAACAAGCAACGUACAGAUACGACGUUGUAUGUACACCUCGCCGUAUACGGUCCGUAAUUAUAUAAUUUUCUGAAUUACUACAGGCAAGAACAACCCGGGUACAAUAAAGGGAACGACAUCGCCGCACUGCGUUUCGCCAUGCAUAUUCAUGUUCUCGAAAACCGCAGCGGCGCACGACAGCCAAUCCAAUCGAGCAGCUUCUGAGGGUCAUGAAGCCCCACCACAGAUGCGACUCUCGGUGCGACGGGUAUGUGAACUGCACAUGCAUGUGUGUGUGUGUGUGUGUGCGUUACAUGGUCGUGGGAACGUUCCCCGUACCUGCAAACCGCCCAAUACGAGCCGAGGGCUCAAGGGCUGCCAGAUCGCCUAUAACCACCGUCCUACCUCGCACACACUUCAAACAAAGCAAGUGAUAAAGGAUACUAACGACCAAAGGGAACGAUAGAGUUGCCGCAGGCCCCUGCAGCCGCCGCACACCCCUACCUGAAUUGCGGACUGCUGCGCACAUCAUGACUCCGGCCAUUAUUUAUCGUAUGUUUGUCAUGACCGUCGGUGUUAUAAGCUUAGUUCGGACAUAUAGCACAGUAUAUAAGUGAAUGGUGCGGAGCACACGUACACAACUGUAGCAGCUGACCGCUGAAAAGGUCUCUCGAGUUGCUGGUGGUCGCGCUCUGCGCGUAUUUAUAGCGCCGUACUGUGUACCGGCUGCUACAACAACCAAAUAAUCCGUCGGGUCGUUGCCCAGUAAAACACGCGAUACAUUCCGAUUCAUGAGUCAGUGCCACCUUCUCGAGGCCAAGCGUUGAUGCAUAGGUGCUCAAGGAAUGGGGACGUUACACUGAUUCGUACAAUAACGUACGUACAUCAUUAACGUACGUACACUGAUACAAGGUGACUGAUGCUGCAAGCAUAGGUGGAGUCGACACCCAGGGUGGUGUUUAGCAGCAGCAGAGCCUGCCAGCCGUUCAUGAUCACGAAGGUUCGCUCCGUUUCGUUGCGCCUGUAAGCCGCCGACCUGUCUUGACCGCUCGGCAGCUUUCUUUUCACUGAAAUUACCUUCCAUACAGGCGAGCUCGGUUCACCCACUUUUUUGCCUUGACCAGGUUGUUACAAACAUAUAUGUAAAGCUCCAUAUGUGCGACCGCUCAUCCCGGAUCGCCCGAGGGGUUGGCGCCGUCCAUUACAGUAGUGGUGGUGUGGGGUCCUUGGUGUGGUGCGGUGUGGGGUCCUUGGCCACUGGGCCGCCGACCGGAGUCUCCGAGCCACUGCUGGGCAUCCUGACCAACAUGACCGGGGCUGCAUGU
Molecule: long non-coding RNA, 2519 nt
Filed under: Volvox carteri
Lineage: Eukaryota; Viridiplantae; Chlorophyta; Chlorophyceae; Chlamydomonadales; Volvocaceae
Description: long non-coding RNA (VCAR_LNC000791)
Source: RNAcentral